AACAAACAAAAAUAAUCCUUAAAUUUGCCUUCAAAACAUGAAAUAAUUAACAUAAUUAAAUAAAAUUUCCACCUAAUAUAUAGUUUCAAUUUCAUAUAUAACAAACAGAUAAAUAUUUCUAUACAUUUGUUACAAGAAAUUACACCAAAAUCACCCCCAAUAAACAAAUAUGUUGCCUUAACAUCUUCUAAUGUUAGGCCAGCAAAACCCUAUAAACAACGAAAUUUUUAGUAUAAAAAAAUCCAAAAUAUAAAAUAGUACACUAAUAAUAAUGAUUCGAUCAUUUUGGAAGCUUUCUUUAUUGUGUUUCAGUUUUCUAUCUCGUUGUGUCUCUUGGAUGGACCAGAAGGAGGAAUAGGGACCCCUUUAGGUAGCUUUGUGAAAUACAAUCCACCAGGUAACAACUUUUCCUUCUGUAGAUAAUUCUUCAAUGCCAUUACUGUAACAUCAUCCCCCAUCAUGAUCCCGGGCCUAGUCGCCACGCAUGAAUUAACGAGAAGAAAACACGUAAACAAUAUACAGAUAAGUCGCCUCGUGCUCGACUCAGAAGAACAAGAAGAGGAAGCCAUGAGAGAGGUGUUUUCUCUGCAGGGUUUUUGGAGAUAAGUG
Molecule: long non-coding RNA, 609 nt
Filed under: Olea europaea (common olive)
Lineage: Eukaryota; Viridiplantae; Streptophyta; Magnoliopsida; Lamiales; Oleaceae
Description: long non-coding RNA (OEUR_LNC002974)
Source: RNAcentral